This 354-nucleotide unclassified non-coding RNA is filed under the name Yarrowia lipolytica. The record is from RNAcentral. Lineage: Eukaryota; Fungi; Ascomycota; Dipodascomycetes; Dipodascales.
UCCGACGCUCUUGCGCGCAUCAUUUCUGGCGUUUCCAAGCUCAACUCGUCCAUCGCACGCGUCAACGAGAUCCAGGAAGAGGUCUAUUCACGCAACCUUAACCUCUCGGUGGUGUCUGAAAUCAUGCAGAACUACCAGGCCUCGGUGGAUUACUAUUUGCGAGAAAGUGGAGCCAUGAAAGAGCCGUUCAAGAACGAUGAUUAGCAGGUUUACGUGACCGACAGUAUGGAUGGCUGCGGCUGUUUCUUUAGUCAGCAAACAUAUGAGCUGUGUGCUGUACGGGUACAGUACUGCGGACGGCUACGGGGCAACCCAGUCACGUGGUAUGUUGACUGUGAGAUGCGGUUCUGGCUA